Molecule: long non-coding RNA, 4136 nt
Filed under: Lactuca sativa (garden lettuce)
Lineage: Eukaryota; Viridiplantae; Streptophyta; Magnoliopsida; Asterales; Asteraceae
Description: long non-coding RNA (LSAT_LNC000446)
Source: RNAcentral
UGGAAGGAGACUUACAGCAAACUACAAUGUCAAAGGGAGAUGGAUAGGUAGUUUCUUGCAACAUUUAUCUAAAUUUCUUUUGGCCUCAACCUUAGAAAGACACAUCAGCUUUUGGAAUUAGAGGAUGAGGAUGAUGUAAGUCUCAAACCUUCUUUUUAUUGUUGCAUAAACAAGAAUAUUUUUCUACCGAUUUUAUCAUUCAUGUCGAUAAACUGAUGAACAGUCGCAGAUUAUAUUAUAUAAAUAUGUUUGUGUUUUUAAAUAAAUAAUCCAAUUUGUGUUUGAAAUGUAUGUUGUCUAAUAAACAAUCCAAUUAAAAACCCAAAAUUUUUGAUCCAUGCGUAGCAUCGGUGCCUCUUUCCUAGUUAGUAAUUACAAGUACAUAAAAUAUAUACUGUAAUUGAUUCGUUAAAAACCGGCUUCAAAUCAAUACUCAAAAUAUUUGCUUUACAGAAAAAUACCCGGAGUUACAUUAUUUUCCAGAUAACUAAAUCACUAAUUAACUUGCAACUCUUUUAUAUUUGUCGAUUAUAUUGAAUUUCAUUACAUGAUGAUGACGUAGCAGUAUAGCGCAAAUGUUUUAAAACAAAUUAUUUUAAAGUUGGAUACUGUAAAACUAGAAGUUGUGUUUUCCAAUGAAAGUAUUUAUUAAAUAUAUAAUUCUCACAUUUUAGCAGAAUUUUUGACUCUCACUUCUUAUUUGCGAAAUCUUAAUUUUCCUUUUUUCUAUAAUAAUUUUUAUGGCAAAUUUAAUGAAUUCUACAAAUAUUUCACUUUUUCAGGAGAAGGUAUAUACCAAAGUAAAUCUCAAUUUUCAUAGCCAAUGUAUGAAAUACGUAGUCAUUUUGUUUAUGUUUUGAAAAACAUCGUUAUCUUGUGUUCCAUUUAUUUGGUAAUUUUUGUGUGAAAUUCUUUUUGAAAAUAAGUACGAUUUUGAUUAUCAGCUUAUUCCUUGAUCAGGCAUCAAUUUAGUAACGCAAAUUGAUGAUUGUACACGAGAAAAAAAAAAGUUUUUUCGGUGCUCGUAUGUGGAAAUGACCAGUGUAACAAAUGCAAUGCAGCCAAAGUAAUUAUUUAGCUCAUUUAAUGAGAUGCCAUUGCUGUUCUUACAAUUGGUAAGGGUUUUUAGGAGCUCCACUUUACAUACUUAUUGGCUCUCCUCUAUUACUACCUGUUAACGAACCUAUUGUAUUUGUCUAGUUAUGUAUUGUAUUUCUAGUUUAUAUGGCCCAUUGUAUUGUGGCCAUUUUCCUUUUAUCUUCUUCUUCCAUCCUAAUAAAUAAGUAUUCUUUUGCCACCGGACAAUUGCUAGGCCCCUCCCAAACGUUAAUUUUUCGGCUCAAAAUUACCAAGUGAAGUUCCGAUAAUGCCCUUUGUGCUUCUUAGUACCCCAUCCGCCUUCAUUCUCGCUCUUGGGUUGGAUAUAAUUAAGAGUUUCCAACUUCUGUGCAAUGAAUCAACUCCCAAAUUUAAUCAGCCCUUUCUUUUAUUUUUCAGCCGGAGGAGUGGUAAAAUGUGAAAGUUUAUAAGGGAAAAAAAAGCUGCACUAUUCCAUAUAAAUUCAUAUUUGAGGUUUGAAUUCUAAUUGUCUGAGUGGGUAGACGGAUUUAUGGGGGAGUAUGAGGAAAGAUUGUUUUGUUGUGAUGCACUUCAUAUGAGGUAACCAUUAUAUUGUGCUCCUUCUUUUUACUAAUUUCAAAUGGAGUAUGAAAGGAGAUUUGGUGUUUUUAUGCUCUUGUAUAUGUACCUAAUUUUGGAUGAAGCUCACUGUUUUUCAUCAAUUAUGAUCUACCAAUAAGUUAAAUCGAACGCUAUGUUGAAGAAAACUGGUAGUUUUUAUGGUUUUAUUUAUUUAUUCUAUACAUUUGCUAGAGGUUUCAAAUGGUUAGAUGUAUAUUUAUGAAGAAAACUGGUAGUUGUUAUGGUUUUAUUUAUUUAUUCUAUAUAUUUGCUAGAGGUUUCGCAUGGUUAGAUGUAUUGGACUUUUCUUCGGUAAUUAUGGUUUUGUAUUCUUGGUUUCACAUAAAUAACCUUUGUUUCAAAUUUAGUUUUCUUUUCAUUAUUAUUUCUAUGUCAGAAUGAAUCAUAUAAUUUGAUCCGUUCAUAUGUUUAUAUCAUAUUUGCAAAAUUCUUGUGACUAAAUGUGUAUAUACAGGGUAAUUUGCUUGGAUUAGGUGAUAGAACUAAGCUGGAAUUGUAAAGAGGAAAUGGGUUCAGAAGGUCGAGAGAUAAUAAUUGUUGAUUCUACUUGUAUCAGAUAUAGUUGUAAGCCCAUUUUCACCCCCUUACACUCUCAAUGCUCUAUCUUACUCACUCUUUCAUUUUUUUAAGAAUCUACCAGUUGCAUCAUUCUACACCAAAAGACUCCAUUAUCUAGGGUGUACCUUAUUUCUACUAUCUUCCCUCUUUGACUCCACAAUGAAUAUCUACCACUGCCAAUGAAGAAACACAUAGGAUUGCAACCUAAAUGCGGUCUAAUUAGUAAACUAAGUUAUCAAGUCGAUACCUAAAUCGUAGUUUUUUUAUAACAAAUUUAACCAGCCCUUCAAAAACUUUAAGCUAAAGUUUAGGUUUUAUUAGAUAUUUAUGGUUUAUAAUUAGAAAUUUAAUCAACUUGUUAAAAGCUAAACUUCACUUUUUAUUUGAAGUUUAAUUGACCCAAUAAAUAUCUAAAGCUAAAUUUAAGUUCAAAUUUUCAUUAAAACGAACAAGUUCAAGAUUUGAAGCUAACGUUUUAACCAUCAAAUGUUUUAAUUCAAAGUUUAGCCUUUUCAUUUGAAGUUUAGUCAACCAUGAAAUGUAAUUUCUAAAAACAAUUUAGAUCAAAUAUAGGGAUGUAAUCUGUAUAUAAUUCUUUUAUUAAAGAGAAAACUCAUCAUAUGACCAAAAGAAGGGGGUGUUUGUAGCAACUGACCAUGAAAAACAAAACUUUAUUAAAUGGUCACGACUUCGCAGAGAGGGACUCUGUGAAAGUCCUUACGAUCUAAGGAAUCGGAGACGUGGGGAAAAAGACAAAAAAUAAUGUGUUUUUACACAGUUCUGUCGAGAGGGGCUCUAAAAUCAAUACCCCUCUAUGGAACACAUGUAUACCUCUGAGGAAAUGGUAGCUGAAAGCAUUAAAUUUUUUCUGACAUUUCCUCAUAGGUGUACAUGCGUUCUGCAGAGGUGUACUCAUUUCUGCAGAGCCCUUCUCUAUGGAACUGUAUGAAAGCAUUUUUUGUCUUUUUUCCCGUGUGUUCAAUUUCUCAAAGCGAUUUCUUAUUCCUCAGAGCGUAAGGACUUCCACAAAGCCCUCUCUGCGGAAGUCGUAGUUAUUUAAUAAAGUUGUGUUUUGUAUGGUCAUUUGAUAGAAUUUUCUUUUUAUUAAGAGGUGAAAAAGAAUAAUAGUUUAAUCACUAAAAGAAAUAGCAAAGUGACAAAAUCAAUAAAAUAGAGAAAAUAUAUUGUGCUUUCUCUAUAUUUUUCCCUUUUCAAAACCUGAAAAAGUUAUUUUCUUAAACCAUAAAAAAGUAUGUAAUGGUUUAAUUAGUUGAGUCUUUUAAUAAUAAGACAUCCAAAAUAUUAAAACAUAGAAAAUAUAUUGUGCUUUCUCUAUAUGAUAUAACCUCUUAUUAUAUAUAAAGUUAUAUCAUAUGUACUAAGUUUUAAUGGUUUGGAUGUCUUGUUUUUUUUUUGUGCGUAGUUUGAAUUUUCUAAUUGUAUUUUUUAUAUGUCAAUGUCGAGGUCAUAGAUUGAAGACAAACAUAUGAAAUAAAAAAGAAAGCAUUAGGGAAAGAAGGUAAUUUGAUAAUUUUUGGGCUAAGAAUCUCGGAGUGUAUUUUCUUUUGUUUUGCUAACUGUUUGUGCUUUUGAUAGGUUAAAGUGGUUAGAAGAAGGUUCAAGUAAAGUUCGUGGUUUUGUGUCAGAUUUUCUCUAUGUUUGUGAUCUAUAAACUAUUUUAAAUUUUCUACUUUAGUAUUGUACUUUCAAUUCUAUCUUAUUCAAAACUUAUAUUUUGAAGAUUCCUCCUAAUUAUAGUUUUGAACAUUUGCUUUGUAUUUGGAUGACACUUAUAUUGUUUUUUUAGUAAAGUUGUAUUAGUUGGAAGAAUUGAAAGAAUUAAUCGGAAGAAUUGAAAGAACUGAAAUAACGUUGCU